RNAcentral lists this ribosomal RNA (254 nucleotides) under uncultured bacterium. RNAcentral describes it as "partial 16S ribosomal RNA". It matches the Rfam family "Bacterial small subunit ribosomal RNA", at positions 524 to 776 of the family's 1533-position model. The record is from RNAcentral.
CACGUAGGGUGCGAGCGUUGUCCGGAAUUAUUGGGCGUAAAGAGCUCGUAGGCGGUGUGUCGCGUCGGCCGUGAAAACCUGCAGCUUAACUGUGGGCUUGCGGUCGAUACGGGCAUCACUGGAGUUCGGCAGGGGAGACUGGAACUCCUGGUGUAGCGGUGAAAUGCGCAGAUAUCAGGAGGAACACCGGUGGCGAAGGCAGCUCUCUGGGACGGUACUGACGCUGAGACGCGAAAGCGUGGGGAGCGAACAGG